Molecule: ribosomal RNA, 590 nt
Filed under: uncultured bacterium
Lineage: Bacteria
Description: partial 16S ribosomal RNA
Rfam family: Bacterial small subunit ribosomal RNA
Source: RNAcentral
UGGGGAAUUUUGGGAUCGAAUGGGCGAAAGGCCUGAAUCCAGCAAUGCCGCGUGUGUGAAGAAGGCCUUCGGGUUGUAAAGCACUUUUGUCCGGAAAGAAAUCCUUGGCUCUAAUACAGUCGGGGGAUGACGGUACCGGAAGAAUAAGCACCGGCUAACUACGUGCCAGCAGCCGCGGUAAUACGUAGGGUGCAAGCGUUAAUCGGAAUUACUGGGCGUAAAGCGUGCGCAGGCGGUUUGCUAAGACCGAUGUGAAAUCCCCGGGCUCAACCUGGGAACUGCAUUGGUGACUGGCAGGCUAGAGUAUGGCAGAGGGGGGUAGAAUUCCACGUGUAGCAGUGAAAUGCGUAGAGAUGUGGAGGAAUACCGAUGGCGAAGGCAGCCCCCUGGGCCAAUACUGACGCUCAUGCACGAAAGCGUGGGGAGCAAACAGGAUUAGAUACCCUGGUAGUCCACGCCCUAAANGAUGUCAACUAGUUGUUGGGGAUUCAUUUCCUUAGUAACGUAGCUAACGCGUGAAGUUGACCGCCUGGGGAGUACGGUCGCAAGAUUAAAACUCAAAGGAAUUGACGGGGUCAUAGCUGUUUCCU